Molecule: ribosomal RNA, 415 nt
Filed under: uncultured bacterium
Lineage: Bacteria
Description: bacterial SSU rRNA
Rfam family: Bacterial small subunit ribosomal RNA
Source: RNAcentral
AAUGAACGCUGGCGGCGCGCCUAAUACAUGCAAGUCGAGCGAGAAGACGUAGCAAUACGUUUGUAAAGCGGCGAACGGGUGAGGAAUACAUGGGUAACCUACCCUCGAGUGGGGAAUAACUAGCCGAAAGGUUAGCUAAUACCGCGUACGCUCCUUGGACUUCGGUUCAGGGAGGAAAGCGAUACCGUGGGUAUCGCGCUCUUGGAUGGGCUCAUGUCCUAUCAGCUUGUUGGUGAGGUAACGGCUCACCAAGGCUUCGACGGGUAGCUGGUCUGAGAGGACGAUCAGCCACACUGGCACUGCGACACGGGCCAGACUCCUACGGAGGCAGCAGUAAGGAAUAUUGCGCAAUGGGCGAAAGCCUGACGCAGCGACGCCGCGUGGGGGAUGAAGGUCUUCGGAUUGUAACCCCUUU